Molecule: ribosomal RNA, 253 nt
Filed under: uncultured bacterium
Lineage: Bacteria
Description: partial 16S ribosomal RNA
Rfam family: Bacterial small subunit ribosomal RNA
Source: RNAcentral
GACGUAGGGCGCAAGCGUUGUCCGGAUUUACUGGGCGUAAAGAGCGCGCAGGCGGUCGUUCAAGUCGAGUGUGAAAGCCCCCGGCUCAACUGGGGAGGGUCACUCGAUACUGAUCGACUUGAAGGCAGGAGAGGGAAGCGGAAUUCCCGGUGUAGUGGUGAAAUGCGUAGAUAUCGGGAGGAACACCAGUGGCGAAGGCGGCUUCCUGGCCUGUUCUUGACGCUGAGGCGCGAAAGCUAGGGGAGCAAACGGG